Molecule: ribosomal RNA, 412 nt
Filed under: Escherichia coli
Lineage: Bacteria; Pseudomonadati; Pseudomonadota; Gammaproteobacteria; Enterobacterales; Enterobacteriaceae
Description: partial 23S ribosomal RNA
Rfam family: Bacterial large subunit ribosomal RNA
Source: RNAcentral
CAUUAACUGAAUCCAUAGGUUAAUGAGGCGAACCGGGGGAACUGAAACAUCUAAGUACCCCGAGGAAAAGAAAUCAACCGAGAUUCCCCCAGUAGCGGCGAGCGAACGGGGAGGAGCCCAGAGCCUGAAUCAGUGUGUGUGUUAGUGGAAGCGUCUGGAAAGGCGCGCGAUACAGGGUGACAGCCCCGUACACAAAAAUGCACAUGCUGUGAGCUCGAUGAGUAGGGCGGGACACGUGGUAUCCUGUCUGAAUAUGGGGGGACCAUCCUCCAAGGCUAAAUACUCCUGACUGACCGAUAGUGAACCAGUACCGUGAGGGAAAGGCGAAAAGAACCCCGGCGAGGGGAGUGAAAAAGAACCUGAAACCGUGUACGUACAAGCAGUGGGAGCACAGAGCAAUCUGUGUGACUGC